AGAUUGAACGCUGGCGGCAGGCCUAACACAUGCAAGUCGAGCGGCAGCACGGGUACUUGUACCUGGUGGCGAGCGGCGGACGGGUGAGUAAUGCCUAGGAAUCUGCCUGGUAGUGGGGGAUAACGCUCGGAAACGGACGCUAAUACCGCAUACGUCCUACGGGAGAAAGCAGGGGACCUUCGGGCCUUGCGCUAUCAGAUGAGCCUAGGUCGGAUUAGCUAGUUGGUGGGGUAAUGGCUCACCAAGGCGACGAUCCGUAACUGGUCUGAGAGGAUGAUCAGUCACACUGGAACUGAGACACGGUCCAGACUCCUACGGGAGGCAGCAGUGGGAAUAUUGGACAAUGGGCGAAAGCCUGAUCCAGCCAUGCCGCGUGUGUGAAGAAGGUCUUCGGAUUGUAAAGCACUUUAAGUGGAGAAGGCAGUUACCUAAUCGUGUCUGUUUGACGUUACGACAGAAUAAGCACCGGCUAACUCUGUGCAGCACG
RNAcentral lists this ribosomal RNA (487 nucleotides) under uncultured soil bacterium. RNAcentral describes it as "bacterial SSU rRNA". It matches the Rfam family "Bacterial small subunit ribosomal RNA", at positions 26 to 515 of the family's 1533-position model. The record is from RNAcentral.